UACGUAGGGGGCUAGCGUUGUCCGGAUUUAUUGGGCGUAAAGAGCGUGUAGGCGGCCGUGUAAGUCCGGUGUGAAAACUCGAGGCUUAACCUCGAGAUGUCAUCGGAAACUAUUCGGCUAGAGUCCGGAAGAGGAGAGUGGAAUUCCUGGUGUAGCGGUGAAAUGCGCAGAUAUCAGGAAGAACACCUAUGGCGAAAGCAGCUCUCUGGGACGGUACUGACGCUGAGACGCGAAAGCGUGGGGAGCGAACAGG
This 253-nucleotide ribosomal RNA is filed under the name uncultured bacterium. Its description in RNAcentral is "partial 16S ribosomal RNA". It matches the Rfam family "Bacterial small subunit ribosomal RNA", at positions 524 to 776 of the family's 1533-position model. The record is from RNAcentral.